UACUACAGCAUAUAGGAUCAUAGGAAAGUAGUGCUGGAAAGAACAUCACAAGGUCAUCUAGUCCAGCCCCCUGCUCAAAGAAGAAUUAUCCCUGACUGAACCAUCCUAGCCAAUGAGCUGUCUAACCUGCUCAUGAAAACUUCCAAGGAUGGAGAUUCCACAACUUCUCUAGGUAG
Long non-coding RNA from Gavialis gangeticus (Gharial), 176 nucleotides. RefSeq lists it as uncharacterized. The transcript has 3 exons. The record is from RefSeq and is a predicted model, not a curated record. Lineage: Eukaryota; Metazoa; Chordata; Crocodylia; Gavialidae.